RNAcentral lists this ribosomal RNA (597 nucleotides) under Ligilactobacillus murinus. RNAcentral describes it as "bacterial SSU rRNA". It matches the Rfam family "Bacterial small subunit ribosomal RNA", at positions 1 to 565 of the family's 1533-position model. The record is from RNAcentral. Lineage: Bacteria; Bacillati; Bacillota; Bacilli; Lactobacillales; Lactobacillaceae.
UAAAUUGAGAGUUUGAUCCUGGCUCAGGAUGAACGCUGGCGGCGUGCCUAAUACAUGCAAGUCGAACGAAACUUCUUUAUCACCGAGUGCUUGCACUCACCGGUAAAGGGUUGAGUGGCGAACGGGUGAGUAACACGUGGGCAACCUGCCCAAAAGAGGGGGAUAACACUUGGAAACAGGUGCUAAUACCGCAUAACCAUAGUUACCGCAUGGUAGCUAUGUAAAAGGUGGCUAUGCUACCGCUUUUGGAUGGGCCCGCGGCGCAUUAGCUAGUUGGUGGGGUAAAGGCUUACCAAGGCAAUGAUGCGUAGCCGAACUGAGAGGUUGAUCGGCCACAUUGGGACUGAGACACGGCCCAAACUCCUACGGGAGGCAGCAGUAGGGAAUCUUCCACAAUGGGCGAAAGCCUGAUGGAGCAACGCCGCGUGGGUGAAGAAGGUCUUCGGAUCGUAAAACCCUGUUGUUAGAGAAGAAAGUGCGUGAGAGUAACUGUUCACGUUUCGACGGUAUCUAACCAGAAAGCCACGGCUAACUACGUGCCAGCAGCCGCGGUAAUACGUAGGUGGCAAGCGUUAUCCGGAUUUAUUGGGCGUAAAG